Molecule: non-coding RNA, 112 nt
Organism: Acanthosepion pharaonis
Lineage: Eukaryota; Metazoa; Mollusca; Cephalopoda; Sepiida; Sepiidae
Source: the annotation of a GenBank genome assembly
UACAGCCACAUCAGGUUGACACACCGGUUCCUGUAUGAUCGGCGAAGUUAAGCAACGUCGAACCUGGCCAGUACCUAGAUAAGUGACCGCUUGGGAAUAUCAGCCGCUGUAA